ACGUAGGGUGCAAGCGUUAUCCGGAAUUAUUGGGCGUAAAGAGCUCGUAGGCGGUUUGUCGCGUCUGUCGUGAAAGUCCGGGGCUCAACUCCGGAUCUGCGGUGGGUACGGGCAGACUAGAGUGAUGUAGGGGAGACUGGAAUUCCUGGUGUAGGGGUGGGAUGCGGAGAUAUCAGGAGGAACACCGAAGGCGAAGGGAGGGCUCUGGGGAUUAACCGGCGCUGGGGAGCGGAAGCAUGGGGAGCGAACAG
RNAcentral lists this ribosomal RNA (251 nucleotides) under uncultured prokaryote. Its description in RNAcentral is "partial 16S rRNA". It matches the Rfam family "Bacterial small subunit ribosomal RNA", at positions 525 to 775 of the family's 1533-position model. The record is from RNAcentral.